RNAcentral lists this long non-coding RNA (1743 nucleotides) under Nicotiana benthamiana. Its description in RNAcentral is "long non-coding RNA (NBEN_LNC037287)". Lineage: Eukaryota; Viridiplantae; Streptophyta; Magnoliopsida; Solanales; Solanaceae. The record is from RNAcentral.
UGAGAACUCUGCAAGGCACGAUGUGGAUAAGAAGUUUAUGGGGGUGCACCCCUCCCAAGUCUAGGGCAAUCCCUCACCACGUGGCAUGUGUCACCACACUCAAUACAAGCUCUGGGAGGACGUUGUGGUUAGGGCUGGCUAGGGCCAGGUCUACUUGAUUGACCUCUGAAAGCACCCACGCAGGAGGUGCGCUAGAAAUCAGAGGUGCAUAAUAAGGCUCUUGAGAUCUAGGAGGAGCUGGAGCACUACUAGCUGCUGGAAGAGCUGAAUGAAUAGGGAACCUCAUAUACCCCUACCAUGAUGACCUGCAGCUGGGGUACGGGCACCAUAAUAAUGGCCUAACUCUCGAGACCUCUUGGCCUCCCUAUCCUCUCUCUCCCUAGCAUGCAUACACUCAAUACUCUUAGCAAUACUCACCACCUGAUGAUAAGAAAUAUCCAUCUCCAACUCAGAAGCUAUGCCAAAUUAGAUGCUGGGAAUAAGGCUCUCAAUAAACCGGCAAACUCUCUCACAUACAGUAGAAACCAAGGCUAAUGCAUGCCUAGACAAAUUGGUGUAACAGACAACAUACUCUGAAAAGGUCAUACCACCCUAGUGCAAAAACUCAAACUCUGCAUCUCCAUUCAUCCCUGAGGCUCUGAGGAACACACUCUCUUAGGAAUAGAUCUAAAACUGAGCCCAUGUCAGUGAAGCAGCCUCAUCUGGACUAUCUAACUCAUAAGUGUGCCACAACUCAUAGGCGGCCCCUCGAAGCUGAAAGGUACUGAAAGAAACCUCGCUAGAUCCUAGAUACCCAUGGUACGAAGAAUGCGGUAACACUCAUCAAGAAAUACAAAGGCAUCCUCCGAUGCUAGACCACUGAAUAUAUUAGGCAUGUACUUCUUGAACCUCUCAAGCCUCAAUGUUAAUCCUCAGAAACCGCUGCCCGGUCCUCGGGCUAAAUUUGUACUGCAGGCAGUACAGGAAUAAUCUCGAGGACCUACUCAACAUGCACUCCUUACUUAGGAGUGUGGGCGGUGGGAGUCUGUGCUCCUCUCUUGGCCUGGGAUGUGGCUGCAACAAAGGGAAGCAACCCUGUUUGAGCCAAAGUGGUGUACAUGCUCAUGAACUGUGCCAGAGUAUCGUGAAGAGCUGGGGUAGUAGUAGCAGUAGUAGGCAUGUUAGGUGCCUAGACUCCAGCUAGAACUACUGGUGGUACCUCGGCGGUAGCUCGCGCAGGUGCUCUAGCUCCACCACAUGCGUGUCCUCGUCCUGCAUUGCAGCCCCAACCUCUAACAGCUUCAGUAGGGGGCACGAGUGUCUGAUCAUCUCGAGUAGAUGUCGUCACCAUCUAUGGGAGAAUCAAAGAUAGAAUUUUAGAAUUGUGAUGUCAGAAUACCGCACGACAAGGAAAUUAAAUGAAGUGGAAAUUUUCCUAACAGUUACAUAGCCUCUCAUAGAUAAGUACAGACAUCUCUAUACUGAUUAGUAAGACUCUAAUAAAUUGGCUUGUGAUCUGUGACUCCAAUGAACCUAGAGCUAUUAUACCAACUUGUCAUGACCCCGGUUCACUUUUCGUGAACCACCAUGAUUGCACCUAGUCUCUACGACUAGGUAAGCCUAAAUUGUGGAAGCAAACUAAACUUACAGAAAUAAAGCGAUUUUAAUAGCAAAAUCAAAGCAAUAAUAGUGUUCAAUGUGCCACUCAGCAUACUCAAUAUAUGUAUAUCAGUCUCAAAACCCAAUAUCUAAAUCCAAGACGCG